UCCUCGCGAUGCGGAGCAUAUGAGGACGGGAAACAACGAAAUAAAGUGUUUAAUCUUACGCACAAAAUGUGUUUUGUAAUAUCAUAUCGUUUUAUAACGAUAUUAAUGUGCUGUAUGCCGCUAAACGUUUCUCAAAGACAUUUGUUUCCACUCGCGAUGCGGAACAGACGAGAGCGCUGUGCAGUUAAUGUUACUAAUGAACUUUUUCUCAGGGAGAUAACGGUAUUUCCUUUCACUCGCGAUGCGGAGCAGACAGGACAGUUGGUUUUAUCAAGGAAAACACAGAAAAUAUUAAUUGCUAUGCAGUGCUGAGGUGGAGGUCGCUUUUAACAGGGAAACACUAGAAAGAGAUAUUUUCUUUCAAUCACAAUGCAGAGCAGACGGGAAAGUUGGUUUUAUCAAGGAAAAUGCCAAAAG
Molecule: long non-coding RNA, 417 nt
Organism: Labeo rohita (rohu)
Lineage: Eukaryota; Metazoa; Chordata; Actinopteri; Cypriniformes; Cyprinidae
Exons: 3
Source: RefSeq, a predicted model, not a curated record